UUAAGCCAUGCAUGUGUAAGUACGAGCAAAAUGAAUGCUCUAGCCGUGAACGGCUCAUUAUAUCAGCUAUGAUUUAUUGGAUCUGUACACCCAGUUAAGUUGGAUAACUGUGGUAAUUCUAGAGCUAAUACAUGAUUCCUAAAGUCCCCGACUCACGUAGAAAUACAAAGAGGAAGGGUGCUUUUAUUAUUGAAUUCAAACUGGUAGUGCGAUGUGUGUAAAAUACACCGUUGUACAAAAACCAAUACUAUGAUGACUCAGAAUAACUUCUGGCUAAGCGCAUGGCCUCUGUGCUAGUGCUGUUUCUUUCAAGUGUCUGCCUUAUCAGCCUUCGAUUGUAAGUUAUGUGCUUACAAUGGCUAUAACGGGUAACGGGGAAUCAGGGUUCGAUUCCGGAGAGGGAGCCUGAGAAACGGCUACCAGUUCUAAGGAAGGCAGCAGGCACGCAAAUUACCCACUCCCAGCACGGGGAGGUAGUGACGAAAAAUAACGAUGCAAGACUCAUUAGGGUCUUUGUAAUCGGAAUGAGAACACUUUAAAUCCUUUAUCUAGGAUCAAUUGGAGGGCAAGUCUGGUGCCAGCAGCCGCGGUAAUUCCAGCUCCAAUAGCAUAUACCAAUGUUGUUGCGGUUAAAAAGCUCGUAGUUGGUUCUAUGAAAGAGCUUUGAAAAGUCUUCUUAACCUAAAGGUAGUUGACUAUAAACCAAAUGCCUCGGCAAAUAGACCUUCUGCAUGUGCGCAUGCACUCUGUUCUUAACGGGAUAGGUGUGUGUGUGUAUGUGUGUGUUGGUCUAGCCAACUUACAUGGAGUUGCUCUUGAACGAGUGACCCAAGUGGUUGGCAUGUUUACUUUGAAUAAAUUAGAGUGCUCAAAACAGGAUAAUAUAAAGCCUGAAUAGACAUGCAUGGAAUAAUGGAAUAAGACCUCGGUUCUACUGUUUUUCCAGUUUGAAAGAACCGAGGUAAUGAUUAAAAGAGACUGCCGGGGGCAUCUGUACUGCAGCGCGAGAGGUGAAAUUCUAUGACCGUUGCAUGACAAACAACAGCGAAAGCAUUGCCAAGAAUGUCUCAU
Molecule: ribosomal RNA, 1071 nt
Filed under: Fennerogalathea ensifera
Lineage: Eukaryota; Metazoa; Arthropoda; Malacostraca; Decapoda; Galatheidae
Description: bacterial SSU rRNA
Rfam family: Eukaryotic small subunit ribosomal RNA
Source: RNAcentral